Molecule: ribosomal RNA, 491 nt
Filed under: uncultured bacterium
Lineage: Bacteria
Description: partial 16S ribosomal RNA
Rfam family: Bacterial small subunit ribosomal RNA
Source: RNAcentral
GUGCACGCUGGCGGUAGGCCUAACACAUGCAAGUCGAACGGCAGCACAGUAAGCGCUUGCUCUUACGGGUGGCGAGUGGCGGACGGGUGAGGAAUACAUCGGAAUCUACUUUUUCGUGGGGGAGAACGUAGGGAAACUUACGCUAAUACCGCAUACGACCUACGGGUGAAAGCAGGGGCUCUUCGGACCUUGCGCGACUGAAUGAGCCGAUGUCGGAUUAGCUAGUUGGCGGGGUAAAGGCCCACCAAGGCGACGAUCCGUAGCUGGUCUGAGAGGAUGAUCAGCCACACUGGAACUGAGACACGGUCCAGACUCCUACGGGAGGCAGCAGUGGGGAAUAUUGGACAAUGGGCGCAAGCCUGAUCCAGCCAUACCGCGUGGGUGAAGAAGGCCUUCGGGUUGUAAAGCCCUUUUGUUGGGAACGAAAAGCAGCAUGUUAAUACCCCGCCGUUCUGACGGUACCCAAAGAAUAAGCACCGGCUAACUUCGUG